CCUCUGAUGUCCCCUGUAUUCUAGAGCAACAGUCUCCGAAGCAACACUGAGCCAAAACAACAUGUGUGGCAACUGAAUGACAGCACACAUUUUUCCUGUCGUUUCGGACUUAAAUACAGGACUAUAUGACAAAGAUAUUGGACAAAAUGCUUCCAACAUCAGGCAAGUGUGAUCCUGCAGAAAGAGAGGAGGGAGGGAAAACACUGAAGGAAACAAAAGCAAAGAAUAUAUAGCAGAGUGAGAUGGAACUUUACAGUGGGGGCUGUGGAGAGGAGGAGUGGAGGAAGGAGGCUUAUAUCCAUGUUGUCGUACAAAAUACAGGUACACUUGUGAGUUCUAUGGAUUGUAUUUGUCCCUCCUCCAAGUAUAGUGAAUAUUUGUGUUUUUUACACAAGGUCCAGGCUGGGUCAGGAAGGAGGCUGGUGUCCUGAGGAGGGACUGCCGUGUGACUAACUCACAACAGUGAGAUAGUACUGUGAAGAGGAGGAGGGGAGGAAGGAGGCUUAUAUCCACGUAUCUUAUAUCCAGGGACAGAAAUGGAAGGCCACUGCCAAACGUGUCAGUGAUAUUCAGGCUUUCUCGGUGCCUCUGUCUCUGUAUGCGAUUCAGCUCUGAUGAUCUCAUAGUGACCCUGCACCCCAUUUCGGCCUUUAUUGCAAAACUGGCUGACGCCUGUAUCUAAGUGGAUGUGGACACUUUUCAGCCUCUUUCCCACACUUCUGCUGAGCAACAGCGUUCACACAGGUUGUGCCCUGUCCGAGCGGCGCAUGGCAUCCUUUACCAACACCGUAAUGCUACACAACACAGUGAACACAAGGCUCUGGGAAACCUGAACAUUUUCCUUAAACACCAUAAUAUUCAGGAGUAGGACCAAGCCUCAACCUCCCCCUGCUCCUCUCCAGCAAACCAAGCUCAGCUCAACCGCACCUUCAGUUACCCAAAAGCCCUAUUUAUACAGGCCUAUCCCAACAACACCGUCUGUCUCUGCUCUCUCGACCCUCUCCCUCCCACCCCGUACCUCUCUCUCUCUAGUCUCUAGCCUCUAGUCUCCUCCCAGCCAUCACAUCUCGCCAUCGUCAAGAAAUAUCUUUACCGUAUUCCAUUGUUGUGACGUGGUCCUUGCUAGUGAAAUACAACUGUGUGUCUGAAUAUGAAGACUUUCUGUCCGAUAUUAAGUCACGUGUCAACUGCCCCAGCCUAAACUUGACCUCAGCAAGCUGAUAAGAACAUUCGCAGCCAACAGC
Long non-coding RNA from Boleophthalmus pectinirostris (great blue-spotted mudskipper), 1244 nucleotides. RefSeq lists it as uncharacterized. Lineage: Eukaryota; Metazoa; Chordata; Actinopteri; Gobiiformes; Gobiidae. The transcript has 5 exons. The record is from RefSeq and is a predicted model, not a curated record.